Molecule: ribosomal RNA, 436 nt
Filed under: uncultured Saccharofermentans sp.
Lineage: Bacteria; Bacillati; Bacillota; Clostridia; Eubacteriales; Oscillospiraceae
Description: partial 16S ribosomal RNA
Rfam family: Bacterial small subunit ribosomal RNA
Source: RNAcentral
ACGGGAGGCAGCAGUGGGGAAUAUUGGGCAAUGGGCGCAAGCCUGACCCAGCAACGCCGCGUGAAGGAUGAAGGUCUUCGGAUUGUAAACUUCUUUGAUCAGGGACGAAUAAAUGACGGUACCUGAAGAACAAGUCACGGCUAACUACGUGCCAGCAGCCGCGGUAAUACGUAGGUGGCAAGCGUUAUCCGGAUUUACUGGGUGUAAAGGGCGCGUUGGCGGGGAUGCAAGUCAGAUGUGAAAUCCAUGGGCUUAACUCAUGAACUGCAUUUGAAACUGUAUCUCUUGAGUGUCGGAGAGGUAGAUGGAAUUCCUAGUGUAGCGGUGAAAUGCGUAGAUAUUAGGAGGAACACCAGUGGCGAAGGCGAUCUACUGGACGAUAACUGACGCUGAGGCGCGAAAGCGUGGGGAGCAAACAGGAUUAGAUACCCUGGUA